Molecule: long non-coding RNA, 571 nt
Organism: Episyrphus balteatus (marmalade hoverfly)
Lineage: Eukaryota; Metazoa; Arthropoda; Insecta; Diptera; Syrphidae
Exons: 3
Source: RefSeq, a predicted model, not a curated record
GGCAAACAGCUCUUCAAUUAAGUUGUUAAGACAAUUGGCCUACGUGAAGUUUGCUUCUUUCGAUUGCAAUAUACCGAUUCGAGGGGUAACCUAACAUGGAUAAAAUUAUAUAAAAAGCUCACAACCGUGACCACCCCGAUGUAUAGAUCUCCAGAAAUGGUUGCCACCUGGAACAAUUAUGUUAAAGACCCCAAAUUGGAUAUCUGUGCUUAAGGAUGUGUUCUUUAUUGUUUAUGUUUCCAAAAACAUCCAUUUGAAGUUUCAGCCAAGCUACGAAUUACAAACGGAAAUUAUACAAAGCCAUCAGAUGCCGGAUUUAAUUGUUUCCAUGAUGUCAUCAAAUAGUGAAUAACUGUGAACCCCUCAAAUAGGUUUAACAUUUCAACAAUUUUAGAUCGUUUGGCUGGGAUAUCUUAAACGAAAAAUUGGUCAUUAAAGAGACCAAUUGAAUUGGUGGGAAAAACCAUUAGUAAUACCACCAAGUGGUUCACCGGAAAACAGUCCAGCAACAACAAAUGCACCUGUGCUCUCUCCACUUCCCUCACGACCUACACCACGAAGGCCUACACAU